AGAACGAACGCUGGCGGCGUGGAUAAGACAUGCAAGUCGAGCGGGAUUUCCGUUAGUAGCAAUACCGAAGGAAGUCUAGCGGCGAACGGGUGCUUAACACGUGGGCAACCUGCCAAGAAGUGGGGGAUAGCUCGCCGAAAGGCGAAUUAAUACCGCAUGUGAUUAGAGUGGACAUCCAUUCGAAAUUAAAGUCGGGGCAACCUGACGCUUUUUGUGGGGCCCGCGGCCUAUCAGCUAGUUGGUGAGGUAACGGCCCACCAAGGCUUUGACGGGUAGCUGGUCUGAGAGGAUGACCAGCAUCACUGGGACUGAGACACGGCCCAGACUCCUACGGGAGGCAGCAGUGGGGAAUAUUGGACAAUGGGCGCAAGCCUGAUCCAGCCAUGCCGCGUGGAUGAUGAAGGCCUUAGGGUUGUAAAGUCCUUUUAACGGGGAAGAUAAUGACGGUACCGUAGAAUAAGCCCCGGCUAACUUCGUGCCAGCAGCCG
This 488-nucleotide ribosomal RNA is filed under the name uncultured bacterium. RNAcentral describes it as "SSU rRNA". It matches the Rfam family "Bacterial small subunit ribosomal RNA", at positions 26 to 517 of the family's 1533-position model. The record is from RNAcentral.